AACGCACAUUGCGCCCUUUGGUAUUCCUUAGGGCAUGCCUGUUCGAGCGUCGCAAAAACCCAGAUCACCUAGAGUGUGGUAUUGGCAGAAGUGGCCGGGGCUAUCAGCGCUGCUGCCACUCUGCUGGAAUGAAUAGGCUGGAAAAGUAGAUCAUAGCAACAGACUUUCACAGUAUUUUGAAAUGCUAAAUUAGUUCGAAGCUGAUCGGAACCUAAGCCAUUUGACCCCCAUCCUGCGUAAAGCAGUAAGGUUGACCUCGGAUCAGGUAGGGAUACCCGCUGAACUUAA
This 288-nucleotide unclassified non-coding RNA is filed under the name Tuber sp. RNAcentral describes it as "partial contains 5.8S ribosomal RNA, internal transcribed spacer 2, and large subunit ribosomal RNA". Lineage: Eukaryota; Fungi; Ascomycota; Pezizomycetes; Pezizales; Tuberaceae. The record is from RNAcentral. RNAcentral also lists the same sequence under 1 other name.